This 465-nucleotide ribosomal RNA is filed under the name Vreelandella stevensii. RNAcentral describes it as "partial 16S ribosomal RNA". It matches the Rfam family "Bacterial small subunit ribosomal RNA", at positions 338 to 795 of the family's 1533-position model. The record is from RNAcentral. Lineage: Bacteria; Pseudomonadati; Pseudomonadota; Gammaproteobacteria; Oceanospirillales; Halomonadaceae.
CCUACGGCUGGCAGCAGUGGGGAAUAUUGGACAAUGGGCGAAAGCCUGAUCCAGCCAUGCCGCGUGUGUGAAGAAGGCCUUCGGGUUGUAAAGCACUUUCAGUGGGGAAGAAAGCCUUGGGGCUAAUACCCUCGAGGAAGGACAUCACCCACAGAAGAAGCACCGGCUAACUCCGUGCCAGCAGCCGCGGUAAUACGGAGGGUGCGAGCGUUAAUCGGAAUUACUGGGCGUAAAGCGCGCGUAGGCGGUCUGAUAAGCCGGUUGUGAAAGCCCCGGGCUCAACCUGGGAACGGCAUCCGGAACUGUCAGGCUAGAGUGCAGGAGAGGAAGGUAGAAUUCCCGGUGUAGCGGUGAAAUGCGUAGAGAUCGGGAGGAAUACCAGUGGCGAAGGCGGCCUUCUGGACUGACACUGACGCUGAGGUGCGAAAGCGUGGGUAGCAAACAGGAUUAGAUACCCUAGUAGUC